UAGAUCCCAAUUCAACAUUCUACCCUCAUACCUUCAAUGGGGGUCAACACUGAGUAACCUGUUCCAGACUUAGCCGAAGUCCUCUAUUGGAUCCCACUGCCGAGAUAGAUGCACAACUCAAGUGGCGCUUGAUCCAUCUCUGGUCUGGAGAAUGUCUCAAUGAGGGUGCAUACGAUGCUGUUCAUCAUCUUCUUCUUGAAAUGGACCUGAGACAGAAUCAUCAAACUCCCAUAGCAGGAACACCGUUCCCAUUAGCAGGAGUUCUGCAGGAAAAGCUCUUGAGUGAAAAUCUUGGGACUUUGUCUGGCUGGUCAGUGGUCUCUGGUUAUUGAAUAUUAUGCCCUUUCUUAAUAUCCCUGCUGUUCCUGGUCGCUGCAUCCUGGAUUGAGGCCUCCUGAUCAGCUCUGUCAUCUGUUUCUGUAGGAGACAUCGGAGUCCUCUUCUCUCUGGUCUGGAGUCUUCCAUGUCGUAUGACUCUUUGCUAUAGGAAGCACACAUAUAAUACAAAAUACAAUAUAGGAACAUACAGUAUAUAGCAUGUAAAAUAUAUAUAUCACUACUACUUUACUAGUACUAACAUAUAGUAUCAUUUAUAGGGGUGGUUAUUCAUAUCCUUUAUUUAUAGUCCACAAACUGUCCUAAUGGUUUACAUUCCACAUUUAUAGUAGUAACCAUAUUAUUAUAUUUAUAUAUUAAAACU
Hyla sarda is the source of this 700-nucleotide long non-coding RNA. RefSeq lists it as uncharacterized. The transcript has 5 exons. NCBI's taxonomy places the organism in Eukaryota, Metazoa, Chordata, Amphibia, Anura, Hylidae. The record is from RefSeq and is a predicted model, not a curated record.